This 263-nucleotide non-coding RNA is filed under the name Desulfofarcimen acetoxidans. The record is from RNAcentral. RNAcentral also lists the same sequence under 1 other name. Lineage: Bacteria; Bacillati; Bacillota; Clostridia; Eubacteriales; Peptococcaceae.
UUUUUAAUUUGGAAAACAGGUGCCCCUUCCCGAGGGACAGGGGUUAAAAGGGAAGCCGGUGCGAGUCCGGCGCGGUCCCGCCACUGUAACGGUGAGCUGCCUUACAAAAGGAAAAGGGAACAAUCCAUUUGGAACCGGCAAAAUUGCUUGCCACUUAUUCUGAAAAGGAAUGUUCCAAUCUUAUGUCACUGGGUAUUGACCUGGGAAGGCGUAAGGCAGCAAUGACCCGGAGCCAGGAAACCUGCCUGUUUUCCCCAACGUUA